Molecule: ribosomal RNA, 253 nt
Filed under: uncultured bacterium
Lineage: Bacteria
Description: partial 16S ribosomal RNA
Rfam family: Bacterial small subunit ribosomal RNA
Source: RNAcentral
UACGUAGGGUGCGAGCGUUGUCCGGAAUUAUUGGGCGUAAAGGGCUCGUAGGCGGUUUGUCGCGUCGGGAGUGAAAACUCAGGGCUUAACUCUGAGCCUGCUUCCGAUACGGGCAGACUAGAGGUAUGCAGGGGAGAACGGAAUUCCUGGUGUAGCGGUGAAAUGCGCAGAUAUCAGGAGGGACACCGGUGGCGAAGGCGGUUCUCCGGGCAUGACCUGACGCUGAGGAGCGAAAGUGUGGGGAGCGAACAGG